UAGCCAUCCGAAAGGAUGGGUAAUACCGGAUGACAUCACCGACAGGCAUCUGUCGGUGCUCAAAGGUCCGCCGGUCUGGGAGCGGGCGAUUUCGUAUCAGCUAGUUGGUGGGGUAACGGCCCACCAAGGCGACGACGCGUAGCCGGACUGAGAGGUUGGCCGGCCUCAUUGGGACUGAGACACUGCCCAGACUCCUACGGGGGGCUGCAGUAACGAAUCUUCCGCAAUGCACGAAAGUGUGACGGAGCGACGCCGCGUGUGGGACGAAGCCCUUCGGGGUGUAAACCACUGUCAGGGGUUACCAAGUUCUGAGGAGCCCCAGAGGAAGGCACGGCUAACUCUGUGCCAGCAGCCGCGGUAAGACAGAGGUGCCAAGCGUUAGGCGGAAUCACUGGGCUUAAAGCGUGUGU
RNAcentral lists this ribosomal RNA (410 nucleotides) under uncultured bacterium. Its description in RNAcentral is "bacterial SSU rRNA". It matches the Rfam family "Bacterial small subunit ribosomal RNA", at positions 144 to 572 of the family's 1533-position model. The record is from RNAcentral.